CGUCUGGGGAGACUGCCGGUGAUAAACCGGAGGAAGGCGGGGAUGACGUCAAGUCCUCAUGGCCCUUACAUCCCGGGCUACACACGUGCUACAAUGGCAGGUACAGAGGGCUGCGAAGCCGCGAGGUGGAGCGAAUCCCAGAAAACCUGUCUCAGUCCGGAUUGAAGUCUGCAACUCGACUUCAUGAAGGCGGAAUCGCUAGUAACCGCGGAUCAGCACGCCGCGGUGAAUACGUUCCCGGGCCUU
Molecule: ribosomal RNA, 246 nt
Filed under: uncultured Latescibacterota bacterium
Lineage: Bacteria; Pseudomonadati; Candidatus Latescibacterota
Description: uncultured Latescibacteria bacterium partial 16S ribosomal RNA
Rfam family: Bacterial small subunit ribosomal RNA
Source: RNAcentral